This 250-nucleotide unclassified non-coding RNA is filed under the name plant metagenome. RNAcentral describes it as "partial contains small subunit ribosomal RNA, internal transcribed spacer 1, and 5.8S ribosomal RNA". The record is from RNAcentral.
GUAGGUGAACCUGCGGAAGGAUCAUUAAUGAAAUGAAUGUUGGGAAGGGUUGUAGCUGGCCUCUCGGGGCAUGUGCACACCUGUACCAUGCAUCCAGCUCUCUCACACCUGUGCACCUGUAUGUAGCUUGGAGGGAUGAUUACGAUGUUGGAAACAGCAUUGAAAGCUCUCUUAGCUAUGAAUUUUUACACACAUAUAUAAAGUUAUAGAAUGGAUAAAGUUAUAGCGUGUAAUAGCGCGAAUAAAUACA